UGAAAAGAUGGCUCAGUGGUUAAGAGCACUGACUGUUCUUCCAGAGGUCCUGAGUUCAAUUCCCAGCAA
This 69-nucleotide transfer RNA is filed under the name Mus musculus (house mouse). RNAcentral describes it as "tRNA-Asn". Lineage: Eukaryota; Metazoa; Chordata; Mammalia; Rodentia; Muridae. The record is from RNAcentral.